UCAUUGAAAUCUGAGGCUUACUGGAAUUCCUGGGUCGUGGAGUUUUCCUUAGAUGCAUGAAUGCGAUAGCAAUCUAUUUGGGAAAUAUGUCAUACUUUAAACGUGAAAUUAACUCCUAUAGCGGAUGGAAGUUAAUCUUCGCCAGUGAGAUGUGCACGCCACUCAUGUAACAGGCUACGAUGAAGGAGCAUGUGCUUUUGUGUUGAUGAUGUUUUACCUUACACUAGACUUACUACAGCCUCUGGAGUGUGCAUGAGGAAACGCGCACUUAAGUCUUAGAGACUAUGCGCUCGGGUAGACAUAAGAGGGAUCGCCCACACUUCAGGGUUACUCCAUACAGAGCGCGCACAUGGCCAGAUGGUGCGCAAAUGAUAGAAUUAAGUGGAUGGCAGAAUGGGUGCAGUAAGAAAAGCGCGGAGCUGCGCACCUUUUCUGACUUAAGCAUAUGGGGAGAAUAUGGUCCAAAAUAUGCUAUUUAUUUUCCAGUUGGCCCUGCGAUUGGCUGGCGACCAGUUCAGGGUGUCUCGCCCGAAGAUAGCUGGGAUAGGCUCCAGCACGCCUGCGACCCUUGUGAGGAUAAAGCGUAUGAUAAUGAGUGCAUACCUAUAUGGACCACGCACGUACAAGCUGACUGAAGCCUAAUGGGGUCUGGACCAAGCCAGAAGGAAGAGUCAGAGAUGCCCUCGUCCUCACAGGCCCAAACUAAGUCUUCAGAUUGGGACUCUUCCUCACAUCCACCUGCCAUCCUCAUUACUGCUCCAUCACAAGAUGAUAUCCAUGCUUCCUCAUCCAACUUCUCUGUAGCUGAUGCUAUCAAAGAACGGAGGCCCUCUUCAGCACCCAUUGUUGUUGGCAAAAAAUUCAUGAAACGAAAAUGACCUGGCACUGAGGUCACUGAUUAUGUAGUCAUCGUCGUUCACGCCCCUGCGUUCUGUGCAAGCGGGAUGGCUUCUGUUCCCACUCAGUGACGGUGUGAAUGUGAGCGGUAAUGGUGAGGUGUCUCUAUAGAUGUACAAAUUGUUGUUUUUGCGAAUGAUCCCUGAAGAUGCUUUUCAUUUCUUUGGGAAUUGCCCAUUCCCUAACAAAUUACGGAAAGAUGUCGAGAAUUUGAUUUCUGUUCGUAUUGAACCAUGUCUUUCCUUUUGCUUAGAGCAUAUAUUGUUUAUCUUCGUUGACAAGCCACUUGUGAAAAUAAUACAUUAUUAAUUUUAUCAUGUUAUUGGCUAAAUGGCAUCGAGACAAAUGUCGCUAUUCUUAUUAAAAAAAACACUCUUUUGCAUUUUUAAAAACCAUUAGACACUCCAAAAAUGCAAAAGCCAUUUAAACCUUGGCUAAAUGUGCUCUUUAUAAUGCAUUUUCGCCAGUGAUUGUACGUCACCCCCUGGCAAUUGUGUUUGUUUGUUUUGUAUAUUCCGAAUAAAUAUUAAUGGGAAAAAAAG
Phyllopteryx taeniolatus (common seadragon) is the source of this 1439-nucleotide long non-coding RNA. RefSeq lists it as uncharacterized. The record is from RefSeq and is a predicted model, not a curated record. NCBI's taxonomy places the organism in Eukaryota, Metazoa, Chordata, Actinopteri, Syngnathiformes, Syngnathidae. The transcript is spliced from 3 exons.